UGGGGAAUUUUGGACAAUGGGGGCAACCCUGAUCCAGCCAUGCCGCGUGUGUGAAGAAGGCCUUCGGGUUGUAAAGCACUUUCGGACGGAACGAAAUCGCGCGGGUGAAUAUCCCGCGUGGAUGACGGUACUGUAAGAAGAAGCACCGGCUAACUACGUGCCAGCAGCCGCGGUAAUACGUAGGGUGCGAGCGUUAAUCGGAAUUACUGGGCGUAAAGCGUGCGCAGGCGGCUUCGCAAGUCAGACGUGAAAUCCCCGGGCUUAACCUGGGAAUGGCGUUUGAAACUACGGAGCUGGAGUGUGGCAGAGGGGGGUAGACUUCAACGUGUAGCGGUGAAAUGCGUAGAUAUGUGGAGGAAUACCGAUGGCGAAGGCAGCCCCCUGGGCCAACACUGACGCUCAUGCACGAAAGCGUGGGGAGCAAACAGG
Molecule: ribosomal RNA, 429 nt
Filed under: bacterium
Lineage: Bacteria
Description: partial 16S ribosomal RNA
Rfam family: Bacterial small subunit ribosomal RNA
Source: RNAcentral